RNAcentral lists this ribosomal RNA (644 nucleotides) under uncultured Pseudomonadaceae bacterium. RNAcentral describes it as "SSU rRNA". It matches the Rfam family "Bacterial small subunit ribosomal RNA", at positions 136 to 776 of the family's 1533-position model. Lineage: Bacteria; Pseudomonadati; Pseudomonadota; Gammaproteobacteria; Pseudomonadales; Pseudomonadaceae. The record is from RNAcentral.
GUGGGGGAUAACGUCCGGAAACGGGCGCUAAUACCGCAUACGUCCUGAGGGAGAAAGUGGGGGAUCUUCGGACCUCACGCUAUCAGAUGAGCCUAGUCGGAUUAGCUAGUUGGUGGGGUAAAGGCCUACCAAGGCGACGAUCCGUAACUGGUCUGAGAGGAUGAUCAGUCACACUGGAACUGAGACACGGUCCAGACUCCUACGGGAGGCAGCAGUGGGGAAUAUUGGACAAUGGGCGAAAGCCUGAUCCAGCCAUGCCGCGUGUGUGAAGAAGGUCUUCGGAUUGUAAAGCACUUUAAGUUGGGAGGAAGGGCAGUAAGUUAAUACCUUGCUGUUUUGACGUUACCAACAGAAUAAGCACCGGCUAACUUCGUGCCAGCAGCCGCGGUAAUACGAAGGGUGCAAGCGUUAAUCGGAAUUACUGGGCGUAAAGCGCGCGUAGGUGGUUCAGCAAGUUGGAUGUGAAAUCCCCGGGCUCAACCUGGGAACUGCAUCCAAAACUACUGAGCUAGAGUACGGUAGAGGGUGGUGGAAUUUCCUGUGUAGCGGUGAAAUGCGUAGAUAUAGGAAGGAACACCAGUGGCGAAGGCGACCACCUGGACUGAUACUGACACUGAGGUGCGAAAGCGUGGGGAGCAAACAGG